Molecule: small RNA, 547 nt
Filed under: Oryza sativa Japonica Group (Japanese rice)
Lineage: Eukaryota; Viridiplantae; Streptophyta; Magnoliopsida; Poales; Poaceae
Description: sRNA Os04g0504551
Source: RNAcentral
CCGUGAUCGGCGGCGGCCACCACGGCGCCCAUCGGCAUCAUGAACGCGUUGCCGCCGCCGCCGCCGCCGUUGCCGUAGACGGCCGAGCUUGACGCCGGCUGCUGGAAGAAGUUGUGGGUGGCGGCGGCGCCGCCGCUCCCGAGGUGCAGGUGCUGGAGGUCCGUCGCGCAGUGCCCGGCCGCGAUCACCGCGUCCUGCUCCGGCUUGCACCACCCGCUGGCCUGGCCGUACGACGGGUAGUGCACGGCGAGCGGCGCCGGCUGCUGGCCGCCGCCGCCGAACGCGAUGGUCGGGCCGCACCCGUAGUAGUACCCACCCACACCGCCGUCGGCCAGGUGGGAGACGAUCACGCCGCCGCCCGCGGCGGCGGCGGCGACCUCCGCCUCCUUGAGCCGCCGCGCCGCGCCGCCGACCGGCAGCGUGCUGCUGUCCAGGAUGCUCUUGACGUCGUACCGGCUCAUGUCGAAGUUGGUGACGGCGUUGAGCCCGCGGAACUUGAUGGCGGCGAUGUCGUACGCCUCGGCGGCCUCCUCCUCGGUGCCUGCAC